Molecule: long non-coding RNA, 289 nt
Filed under: Solanum tuberosum (potato)
Lineage: Eukaryota; Viridiplantae; Streptophyta; Magnoliopsida; Solanales; Solanaceae
Description: long non-coding RNA (STUB_LNC002816)
Source: RNAcentral
GAUCUUUAACAGUGAGAUAUUUCAUUUUUAAACCCUCAUCAAGGUGAUGACGGAGAAAUAUCAUUGCCUUAGCACGGUUUUGAUUCGAUGCUUGAUUUUUUUCUUGGAUGGUGUCUGCCAAACCCAUCGCAUCAAGAUGAAUUUCUGCAUCAAGUACCCAUGAUAGAUAGCCUUUUCCCGAUAUGUCUAAAGCAAGAAAUUCAAGUUUAGAAAGAUUUGACAUUAUUUAAGAAAGAAAAAUUUAUACCUUCGAGGCUUUUAAAGUCUUUACUUGAACUGGCAGAGACUC